Molecule: ribosomal RNA, 406 nt
Filed under: uncultured bacterium
Lineage: Bacteria
Description: bacterial SSU rRNA
Rfam family: Bacterial small subunit ribosomal RNA
Source: RNAcentral
UGGGGAAUAUUGGGCAAUGGGCGAAAGCCUGACCCAGCAACGCCGCGUGAGGGAAGAAGGUUUUCGGAUUGUAAACCUCUGUCCUUGGGGACGAAAAAAAUGACGGUACCCAAGGAGGAAGCCCCGGCUAACUACGUGCCAGCAGUCGCGGUAAUACGUAGGGGGCGAGCGUUGUCCGGAAUUACUGGGCGUAAAGGGUGCGUAGGCGGUUGUCUAAGUCAGAUGUGAAAUCCCCGGGCUCAACUCGGGUGGUGCAUUUGAAACUGGGCAACUAGAGUGCAGGAGAGGGAAGCGGAAUUCCUAGUGUAGCGGUGAAAUGCGUAGAUAUUAGGAGGAACACCAGUGGCGAAGGCGGCUUUCUGGACUGUAGCUGACGCUGAGGCACGAAAGCGUGGGGAGCAAACAG